GAUGAACGCUGGCGGCGUGCCUAACACACGCAAGUCGAGCGAUUUACUUCGGUAAAGAGCGGCGGACAGGUGAGUAACGCGUGGGUAACCUGCCCUGUACACACGGAUAACAUACCGAAAGGUAUGCUAAUACGAGAUAAUAUGCUUUUAUUGCAUGGUAGCAGUAUCAAAGCUUUUGCGGUACAGGAUGGACCCGCGUCUGAUUAGCUAGUUGGUAAGGGAACGGCUUACCAAGGCGACGAUCAGUAGCCGACCUGAGAGGGUGAUCGGCCACAUUGGAACUGAGACACGGUCCAAACUCCUACGGGAGGCAGCAGUGGGGAAUAUUGCACAAUGGGCGAAAGCCUGAUGCAGCAACGCCGCGUGAGCGAUGAAGGCCUUCGGGUCGUAAAGCUCAGUCCUCAAGGAAGAUAAUGACGGUACUUGAGGAGGAAGCCCCGGCUAACUACGUGCCAGCAGCCGCGGUAA
Molecule: ribosomal RNA, 468 nt
Filed under: uncultured bacterium
Lineage: Bacteria
Description: partial 16S ribosomal RNA
Rfam family: Bacterial small subunit ribosomal RNA
Source: RNAcentral